Molecule: non-coding RNA, 69 nt
Organism: Ictidomys tridecemlineatus (thirteen-lined ground squirrel)
Lineage: Eukaryota; Metazoa; Chordata; Mammalia; Rodentia; Sciuridae
Source: Rfam
GGGGUUGUGGCUCAGUAGUAGAGCACUUGCCUAGCAUGUGUGAGGCCCUGGGUUCAAUCCUCAGCACCA